UACGAAGGGGGCUAGCGUUGUUCGGAAUCACUGGGCGUAAAGCGCAUGCAGGCGGAUUGUUAAGUCGGGGGUGAAACCCCGAGGCUCAACCUCGGAACUGCCUUCGAUACUGGCAAUCUUGAGUCCGGGAGAGGUGAGUGGAACUGCGAGUGUAGAGGUGAAAUUCGUAGAUAUUCGCAAGAACACCAGUGGCGAAGGCGGCUCACUGGCCCGGUACUGACGCUGAGGUGCGAAAGCGUGGGGAGCAAACAGG
This 253-nucleotide ribosomal RNA is filed under the name uncultured bacterium. Its description in RNAcentral is "partial 16S ribosomal RNA". It matches the Rfam family "Bacterial small subunit ribosomal RNA", at positions 524 to 776 of the family's 1533-position model. The record is from RNAcentral.